Molecule: non-coding RNA, 1222 nt
Organism: Vicugna pacos (alpaca)
Lineage: Eukaryota; Metazoa; Chordata; Mammalia; Artiodactyla; Camelidae
Source: RefSeq, a predicted model, not a curated record
GGAGAGACAUAAAGGAAAUUCUUGGCUCUGGGAUCUGGGAAUAAGAGAGUUUGCCACUUUCAAAUGACCCACUGGGAUCUGGCCCAAUAGAAUUACAGACGAAAAAUCCUCCUGGUCUUCAGCCACCUGCCCAAAUUUAACGUUGAUUUUACACUUCCUAAAGUUGCAGCAAUGAUCUUCAUGUCUUAGGGGCUGCUGCUGAUUUACCACAUCAGAUAGAAAACUAAGCAUGUCUCGAAGAAAUCUCACCUCACUGCCAGCUUUCUUCUUGAUGUGAAUCCUAUGUGAACUCUAAGGUCUCCUAAUACAGUUCUUCCAUCUGCUCUGGAUUCACAUCCAGGAACAGGCAUCGGGUGGUCACCCUGGGCUUUCUCUAAGGUCCACCAUGGCCUGCAGGGCCCGCCCUCCAGACUAGCCACCAGUAGAGCAUCUCUGAAAGCAUCAGUCAGCUCUGUGUCCUCCUUGCCUUGCUUCAUUUUGAAAAAAUCUGCAUUAAAUGUAAAAGAAAUUAUUCACUGUUCCCAGUUAUUUUUUAGCAACUCCUUUCCAUAAUUUGCAAAUAGUGAUGUCUGCUUCCUGUUAUUUUGUAUUUUCUUCUGUUAUUUCUAAGAUGAUUUGAGAUAGAAGUGGUGUGUUGUGCAAAUUACCACAGCCCUUAUUACCGACAUGAAGGUCUGUCAAACUAACCAAUGAGCUAGAAAUUCCAAAAUUUUCCAAGUGGAUCAGCCUUGAGGAAAGAAAAGAGAGAGGUAAAGAGAACAGAACGCCUUUAAGAAUUGCACUCUUGGUGAGUCUCAAAUAUCACAUCUGUCAUUUGGGCAAGCCAUCUUAUUCAUUCUGCUUUUAGCUCAAUUUUCAGGUGAGUCACCUCAAAACCAUGCUGCAAAAUGGCCCAGUUGCAGCAGGGAGCAAUGAAGCUUCCCAGAAUCUUGUGAAAUAACAUGAUUUGUGAGCAGAACCUCCCAAACAAUAUUUCUCAGGGUUAUUUAAAGCUCUUGCUUUUCCUUUCUCCCUAAUAAUGUUAACUCAGAUGAGUACAUGGAGCUUUAUAAUGCUAAUCUAGAAAAAAAAGAAAAGGUAUUAUUAUUAUUAUUAUUAUUAUUAUUAUUAUUAUUAUUAUUAUUAUUAAAUAAGAAUCCACUUAUAGAAAUAACAUUUGCAUUGUGUUCCAUAUUACACUGUAAAAGCAUCAAGGUGGAAUUAAACAUUGUUCUUAAAGUCA